UCUUCGAUGGUCUAGUGGUCAUGAUUUCCGCUUGUCAGUCACAAGAUAACAAGCCGCGGGAGACCGGGGUUCGAUUCCCCGUCGGAGAG
This is a non-coding RNA of Bimuria novae-zelandiae CBS 107.79, 89 nucleotides long. The record is from the annotation of a GenBank genome assembly. Lineage: Eukaryota; Fungi; Ascomycota; Dothideomycetes; Pleosporales; Didymosphaeriaceae.